RNAcentral lists this ribosomal RNA (1441 nucleotides) under uncultured organism. RNAcentral describes it as "SSU rRNA". It matches the Rfam family "Bacterial small subunit ribosomal RNA". The record is from RNAcentral.
ACGCUAGCUACAGGCUUAACACAUGCAAGUCGAGGGGCAGCAUCAUCAAAGCUUGCUUUGAUGGAUGGCGACCGGCGCACGGGUGAGUAACACGUAUCCAACCUGCCGACAACACUGGGAUAGCCUUUCGAAAGAAAGAUUAAUACCGGAUGGCAUAGUUUUCCCGCAUGGGAUAAUUAUUAAAGAAUUUCGGUUGUCGAUGGGGAUGCGUUCCAUUAGGCAGUUGGCGGGGUAACGGCCCACCAAACCGACGAUGGAUAGGGGUUCUGAGAGGAAGGUCCCCCACAUUGGAACUGAGACACGGUCCAAACUCCUACGGGAGGCAGCAGUGAGGAAUAUUGGUCAAUGGACGAGAGUCUGAACCAGCCAAGUAGCGUGAAGGAUGACUGCCCUAUGGGUUGUAAACUUCUUUUAUACGGGAAUAAAGUUAGCCACGUGUGGCUUUUUGUAUGUACCGUAUGAAUAAGGAUCGGCUAACUCCGUGCCAGCAGCCGCGGUAAUACGGAGGAUCCGAGCGUUAUCCGGAUUUAUUGGGUUUAAAGGGAGCGUAGGCGGGUUGUUAAGUCAGUUGUGAAAGUUUGCGGCUCAACCGUAAAAUUGCAGUUGAUACUGGCGACCUUGAGUGCAACAGAGGUAGGCGGAAUUCGUGGUGUAGCGGUGAAAUGCUUAGAUAUCACGAAGAACUCCGAUUGCGAAGGCAGCUUACUGGAUUGUAACUGACGCUGAUGCUCGAAAGUGUGGGUAUCAAACAGGAUUAGAUACCCUGGUAGUCCACACAGUAAACGAUGAAUACUCGCUGUUGGCGAUAUACAGUCAGCGGCCAAGCGAAAGCAUUAAGUAUUCCACCUGGGGAGUACGCCGGCAACGGUGAAACUCAAAGGAAUUGACGGGGGCCCGCACAAGCGGAGGAACAUGUGGUUUAAUUCGAUGAUACGCGAGGAACCUUACCCGGGCUUAAAUUGCAACUGACUGAACCGGAAACGGUUCUUUCUUCGGACAGUUGUGAAGGUGCUGCAUGGUUGUCGUCAGCUCGUGCCGUGAGGUGUCGGCUUAAGUGCCAUAACGAGCGCAACCCUUAUCGAUAGUUACUAGCAGGUCAUGCUGAGGACUCUAUUGAGACUGCCGUCGUAAGAUGUGAGGAAGGUGGGGAUGACGUCAAAUCAGCACGGCCCUUACGUCCGGGGCUACACACGUGUUACAAUGGGGGGUACAGAAGGCAGCUACACGGCGACGUGGUGCUAAUCCCGAAAGCCUCUCUCAGUUCGGAUUGGAGUCUGCAACCCGACUCCAUGAAGCUGGAUUCGCUAGUAAUCGCGCAUCAGCCACGGCGCGGUGAAUACGUUCCCGGGCCUUGUACACACCGCCCGUCAAGCCAUGAAAGCCGGGGGUGCCUGAAGUACGUAACCGCAAGGAGCGUCCUAGGGUAAAACUGGUGAUUGGG